Molecule: ribosomal RNA, 327 nt
Filed under: uncultured Pseudomonadota bacterium
Lineage: Bacteria; Pseudomonadati; Pseudomonadota
Description: bacterial SSU rRNA
Rfam family: Bacterial small subunit ribosomal RNA
Source: RNAcentral
AGCGAACGCUGGCGGCAGGCUUAACACAUGCAAGUCGAGCGGGCGUAGCAAUACGUCAGCGGCAGACGGGUGAGUAACGCGUGGGAACAUACCUUUUGGUUCGGAACAACACAGGGAAACUUGUGCUAAUACCGGAUAAGCCCUUACGGGGAAAGAUUUAUCGCCGAAAGAUUGGCCCGCGUCUGAUUAGCUAGUUGGUGAGGUAACGGCUCACCAAGGCGACGAUCAGUAGCUGGUCUGAGAGGAUGAUCAGCCACAUUGGGACUGAGACACGGCCCAAACUCCUACGGGAGGCAGCCUGAGACUCCAAGGCACACAGGGGAUAGG